This is a long non-coding RNA of Neltuma alba, 741 nucleotides long. RefSeq lists it as uncharacterized. NCBI's taxonomy places the organism in Eukaryota, Viridiplantae, Streptophyta, Magnoliopsida, Fabales, Fabaceae. The record is from RefSeq and is a predicted model, not a curated record. The transcript is spliced from 5 exons.
UUAAACGUCCAGAUUCCUUACUUGGAGCUGUAGAAACUUUAGUGAACCAGUCACAAGUGAAUGCCAUUGCUGUUGUUGGAAGUUUUCCGGAUGAUGAUAUUGAAGAAGUGGAUUACUACUGGCUGGGAAUGGGAAUAGACAAUUUGGCCGGUGUUGAGGCAGUUAUUAGCCAUCUGGUUGUUAGGACUUUUCAACGUGCACAAGUCUCCUUUUCCCCUUAGCCCGUCUCUAUGCCCAAAAUCAGCUGCCAAGGAGCUAGGAUAUACAUUCCUUCCGUGUGUGCUUGCUGGCCUCAGUAAGGCUCCACAAUACUUGGUGAAGAACUCUGAAUCCAUGGAGAGAGGCUGCAUAUUGGCAAGCGAUGUGGAUUCUGUUAUCCUUCCUAAAGAUGCAUGUGGAGGGGAUGGGGCUCUUGCUUUUGCCAGAAGUGGAAAAAACAAGCCUCUUAUAAUCACUGUGGAAGAAAAUGAAACUGUGCUGAAUGAUACCCCAGAUAAACUUGGUAUUGAAGCGCUUCGGGUCUCAAACUAUUGGGAAGCCAUUUGAGUAGUUGCAGCUCACAAGGCAGGGGUUGAUCCAUUCUCUCUUAGAAGAGAUAAAAUUUCUAAUAUCCGCUGCAAGUCUGUGCCUGUCAAUGGUUACUCUCUUUCAAGAGAAAGAACUUUUGCUUGAUUAAACAAUUUUAGUUUAAUUUUUUUUUUGUUACAAUUGAAGUUUAAUUGAUUAUACAUAUACACAUUC